Molecule: ribosomal RNA, 253 nt
Filed under: uncultured bacterium
Lineage: Bacteria
Description: partial 16S ribosomal RNA
Rfam family: Bacterial small subunit ribosomal RNA
Source: RNAcentral
UACGAAGGGGGCUAGCGUUGCUCGGAAUUACUGGGCGUAAAGGGCGCGUAGGCGGAUAGUUUAGUUGGGGGUGAAAGCCCGGGGCUCAACCUCGGAACUGCCUUCGAUACUGUCAGUCUUGAGGUCGGGAGAGGUGAGUGGAACUCCGAGUGUAGAGGUGAAAUUCGUAGAUAUUCGGAAGAACACCAGUGGCGAAGGCGGCUCACUGGCCCGAUUCUGACGCUGAGGCGCGAAAGCGUGGGGAGCAAACAGG